RNAcentral lists this ribosomal RNA (408 nucleotides) under uncultured bacterium. Its description in RNAcentral is "partial 16S ribosomal RNA". It matches the Rfam family "Bacterial small subunit ribosomal RNA", at positions 28 to 526 of the family's 1533-position model. The record is from RNAcentral.
GACGAACGCUGGCGGCGUGCCUAAUACAUGCAAGUCGAGCGAAGCGGCGGAUGGGGGAGUAACGCGUGGGUAACGGGCCAUUAAGUCUAGGGUACCAUUUGGAAACAGAUGCUAAUACCGGAAACAAAAGGUUGGACCUGCGAUGCAUUAUCUAGUUGGUAAGGUAACGGCUUACAAAGGCGAUGAUGCCUAGCCGAGUUGAGAGACUGAUCGGCCACAUUGGAACUGAGACACGGCCCAAACUCCUACGGGAGGCAGCAGUAGGGAAUCUUCCACAAUGGACGAAAGUCUGAUGGAGCCACGCCGCGUGAGUGAAGAAGGUUUUCGGAUCGUAAAGCUCUGUUGUUGGUGAAGCGGUAAUCAACCAGAAAGUCACGGCUAACUACGUGCCAGCAGCCGCGGGAAUAC